ACUAGUAAUCGCAGAUCAGAAUGCUGCGGUGAAUGCGUUCCCGGGUCCUGUACACACCGCCCGUCACACCACGGAAGUUGGGGGCGCCCGAAGCCACUUAGCUAACCCUUUUGGGAAGCGAGUGUCGAAGGUGAAAUCAAUAACUGGGGUGAAGUCGUAACAAGGUAAC
RNAcentral lists this ribosomal RNA (169 nucleotides) under uncultured bacterium. RNAcentral describes it as "partial 16S ribosomal RNA". It matches the Rfam family "Bacterial small subunit ribosomal RNA", at positions 1334 to 1500 of the family's 1533-position model. The record is from RNAcentral.